GUCCCGCCUCCCCGGCCGCAGAAAGGCUGCUGCUUGGUGGCUGGGCUGGGGCCGAGAGCUGGCAGGGCAGGAAGCCUUUGCACAAUUGAGCCUUUCCUUUGCCCGGGGACCCGUCACCCCCACCCACGUCCCGGGGCUGCUGCUGGUUCGGGCAUUCUUUGGAAGGGGGCAGAUGGAUCCGCCAGCCUCCUCGCCCCGCUUCUGACUCCGCCCACCCUUCUUCCCUACCCGGGUCUGAGCUGGGACUCGUGGGAGCAGAGGAGGGGGAGGCCCCAGAAGUGCCGGGCAAAUAGUAGGUGCUCAGUAAAGUAACGUGACUUCUUCCCACUUUCCCGACUCUACCACUGCCUCUCCUCCUUCUAGGGCCGUGGGAGUGGGAGGAGGGGGCAGAAGACGGGAGAGGAAACCACAAGAGCUGAAGACCGAGAAUGGGAAGGAGGUUGUCAGCCAGAACCUCGUGCAACCUCUCUGCAGUGCAAGGAUUCCACGCCCUCCCCAACCCUCCUACCCCCACGCCCGCCUCCUGGCCUGAGGGCUUCCAGACUGUGCAGGAAGAGUCCAGAAGGAAAUCAGGUGGCCGGUGCCCCUGGAGCAAGCUUUGAGCUCUGUCUUGAGGGGUUGAGAUUAGAAAGAAAAAAAAAAAAAAAAAAGCCAACUCCCUGGGAGGUCUCCGAAUGCUUCACCAGCAGUAUGAACCAGUGGGGAGCAGAGUCAGGAAAUGAUCCUGACAACACACACCCAUCGCAUUUGGGGGAGGAUUUGAUGACGUGAUACAGGUAAAGCAUUGGACCCAGUGCCUGGCACAGACCCAGAGCUCCAGAAUGUUCCCCCUUCAAUUGAGUCUGCGGUUUGAGGAACUACAGUGGCAAGAAAUCAUUUGCAUAUAUAAAGAGCCAUUCUUUCAAGCACUUCCCUCCCAGUUCUCCGGGAGAGCCACUAGGAGCCAGGAUUCUGAGCUCCAGCCUGCAGAGGCCUUAACUGAGCCAACCGGGAAGGGAGAGGAGCUGGCUCCAGCCAAAGGACUGGGCAGCAAGACAGAGGAGGAGGACUCAAGGCUUUGACUCUCAAGCUGCCGCCAACGAGGCUAACUCUGGGGCAAACUGGCAAGGGGUCCUACUUUGGGAUCUCUAGGAAAGAAGUGGUCUGUGAAUGCUUAUCCCAGUUUUCCCGCAUUUCUCUCCCUCCCUGGCCCUUUCUGCACAUCCCCCUGAGCUUUGGGGAGUGUGGGAAUGAUUGACGAACCCUGCUGCGGCACCCCUCCUCCCGCCAUGGGUACAGAUGUGCUGGGCAGCAGCUGUACCCUGCAACCUACACCUGUCGCCUAGAUCAGCUGUUGUAACUCUACUCCUGGGAAAUCAGGCCAGGUGCUCCGGCUUGCAUAAGUCCUCCUUUUGGCAGGUGUAAAGUCACAGCCUCUGCCUAUCACAGCAGCUAGCUCUCAGAGGCUACUUGGAAGAUGCCAGGGCCCUGGGAAUCUCAGCUACAGACCGGAACCCCUUCCAGUCCAGAGCUGCUUCCAGCUGUAUCCCUAUCCCAUAGCCCCUGGCUGGUUCUCGGACUACUCCCACCGGUACCACAUCGGGGUGUGGGAGACGGAGGAGGAAGGGGAGAGACCGACACCUCCACUGGGACCCAUCCCUCUAGCUCUCCUGGAAGCUGGGCAGCACUGUGGACCAGAGAAAUCAAAGAGAACUAGAGCUUGGGAGAAGAUUGGCAGUGGGGCCAAGGAGGAAGAAGGGUCUGGAAACGAGAGCAGAACUUGCUCUUGUGUGGCUUGGGCCACGGAGACAUUCGUUCCAGAGCCUGCAGCCCUGGAAGAUUUCCAUUGCACACUGAGCAUGCGUGGAGGCGUAGAUUGGGCAGGCACCGUGGGAGCGCGGCGCAGACGCAGGUCCAAGCCGUGGGAGAGCGAAGCGACCCGCCCGCCCGGAGCGCCUGGGUGCGGAGCGAAUCCAGAAAUCCCAGGGAGCCGAGAAAAUUUCAGUAAAGCAAGCCCAAGACACACAUCCUCCGACACCCAGCCACACAAUGCAUGGCACAUGCCAAUACACAUAAAAGCCUGGUGGAAACCAGAUGGUGACUUGGCGGCAGAUGGCUGGAUGUGUGUGUACGCCCACACCUGCUUCGGUCUUUGAAUGAACGUACCUUCCAUUUCCCCCUACUACUCCAACACUCAGGGAAAGGACUUGACUGGCGAUGCUCAGAGGGAUGCCAACGCCUUACCAGGAUGGUAUUCUCCAGUUCCCCAUCAACUCUGGCGGUGCCAAGAGAAACAGCCCAUGUGGCAAGCGGCUCCUGGCCAGAUGUGAGGCACUGCUGACCCCUGCUGGCAGAUUUCUCUCUGCAGCAACCGAGGAAAGCCCCAGGGAGAGAGAAUGGAGUAUUGGAAAAAGCUUGCAAUCCGUCUGGGAUGGGUAGGGCACAGAGUGUCUUCAUCUGGAGCUCCUCUGAUGAGACCCAAAAAAAUUAGAGUAAAACCCAGACAGAGUUUCUGGGAGGAGUGAGACAGACUAGUGCGUCCUUUCAGCCCCUCUGACUUGGAAAAACUCCCUGCUGCUGAUCCCUGCAAACCUAAAUUGGGAAUUAGCAACACUCCAUUAGCCAAAUUCAACCACUCAACCACUAAAAAAAAAAAAAAAAAAAAAAAGAAGAGAGAGAGAGAGAGAGAGAGAAACUUCUCCCUCCCUCUCCUUUCUUAUUCCAGUGCAGAGCCUUCCUGAACUUUUAAGUUAAUUUAUUGUGCAUCUGACUUUCCACCCUUAGACCUGGGGCUAGCAUGUGAUAAUCAUGGCUUUAUGUCUUUCUUUCCAUGGAAAGAGGUUGUUCUGACGCUCUUUGGGAAACCACAGUUAAGAAAGCUGACAUCUAGGAUAUUUGCAUCUGUGGUUAGUUAUUUUAAAAAUCUUUUUCUACACCUAGGAGAUGAAAUUCAAGUCUUCCAGAAUCUUUAUUGGAAUUAGAAGCAGGGACCAAAGGAGCACUGGCACUCUGAUAAUUCCAACAGAAUUAGUAUGGAAGCCCCAAGAAGUGAAGUCACUCAUUGUUAAGCCCCUUCCUCUACCCUGCAUCCCUUUUUAGCCACAGACCUUGUGCUCUCCUUCGCUGUAUAGGGUAUGUGUACUCCUUGUCUCUCUACAACCCAUUGCUGGCAGGCCUCCACUCUGAACACAGUGCCCGAACUGCUCUAGCAAAGGCAAUCCUUGGCUUCAGAAGCCAAAUCUAAUAUGCAUGUUCUUUCUUCUUUCUCUCCUCCUCCUCCUCCUCCUCCUCCUUCUUCUUCUUCUUCUUGAAAAUUUAUUUAUUUGACAGAGAGCUCGUGUGAGAAAAAACCCAAGUUGGGGGAGGAACGGGGGAGAGAAUCCUCAAACAGACUCCCAGCUGAUUGGUAGCUGGAGGCGGGACUGGA
Long non-coding RNA from Mustela erminea (ermine), 3406 nucleotides. RefSeq lists it as uncharacterized. The record is from RefSeq and is a predicted model, not a curated record. NCBI's taxonomy places the organism in Eukaryota, Metazoa, Chordata, Mammalia, Carnivora, Mustelidae. The transcript is spliced from 3 exons.